RNAcentral lists this ribosomal RNA (253 nucleotides) under uncultured bacterium. RNAcentral's name for it is "partial 16S ribosomal RNA". It matches the Rfam family "Bacterial small subunit ribosomal RNA", at positions 524 to 776 of the family's 1533-position model. The record is from RNAcentral.
UACAGAGGGUGCGAGCGUUGUCCGGAAUCACUGGGCGUAAAGGGCGCGUAGGCGGCCUGAUAAGUAGGGGGUGAAAUCCUGUGGCUCAACUGCAGGGCUGCCUCCUAGACUGUCGGGCUUGAGCACGGUAGAGGCAGAUGGAAUUCCCGGUGUAGCGGUGGAAUGCGUAGAGAUCGGGAAGAACACCCGUGGCGAAAGCGGCUCUCUGGGACGGUACUGACGCUGAGACGCGAAAGCGUGGGGAGCAAACAGG